AACGUAGGAGGCGAGCGUUAUCCGGAUUUACUGGGCGUAAAGCGCGCGCAGGUGGCUUCGUGAGUCGGACAUGAAAGCUCCCGGCUUAACUGGGAGAGGCUGUUCGAUACUGCGGGGCUUGAGGUUGGGAGAGGGACGCGGAAUUCCCGGUGUAGUGGUGGAAUGCGUAGAUAUCGGGAGGAACACCAGUGGCGCAAGCGGCGUCCUGGCCCACACCUGACGCUGAGGUGCGAAAGCGUGGGUAGCAAACAGGAUUAGAUACCCGUGUAGUCCCU
RNAcentral lists this ribosomal RNA (275 nucleotides) under uncultured prokaryote. RNAcentral's name for it is "partial 16S ribosomal RNA". It matches the Rfam family "Bacterial small subunit ribosomal RNA", at positions 524 to 798 of the family's 1533-position model. The record is from RNAcentral.